This is a long non-coding RNA of Ailuropoda melanoleuca (giant panda), 528 nucleotides long. RefSeq lists it as uncharacterized. NCBI's taxonomy places the organism in Eukaryota, Metazoa, Chordata, Mammalia, Carnivora, Ursidae. The transcript is spliced from 4 exons. The record is from RefSeq and is a predicted model, not a curated record.
GUAAUGAAACCUCCAUAGAAACCCAGAAAGAUGGUUCAGAGAGCUUCUGGGUUCGUUAGCACAUGGAGAUGGGGGUAGAGUGGCAAGCUUGGAGAGAGCAUGGAAGCUCCAUUCUCCUUCCCACAUACCUUGCCCUAUGCAUCUCUUCAAUUUGUCUGUUCCUGGUUUAUAUCCUGUUAUAAUAACCAAUAAUCUAACGGAGUUCUCUUUCUGCUUUGUGAGAUAAGACACCAAGUUUGGAUUCUCAAAUUUAGCCCACAGAUGACAAUUGGACCAUGGAAAGUUGGGGCAGCUUGGGGAGAAGUAAAGAACUGGAACUGCAACCACCCAUCCUCGGAGCUCAUUAGAAUCCACAGUCCUAAAGCACAGAGACUUGCGUGGAUCAGUGCAUGAAGCAUGUCAAGUUCAGCCAACAUCAUUCAACAGAUUUGCUUUAACUCUGCAACUGAUUUCAACUGUUCUUAUGCAAAUGUGUAGUCUCAUCAUCUGGACCACCAGCAAUCCUCUGCUCUCACUCUCACCAUUUCC